Molecule: RNA transcript, 3514 nt
Organism: Octodon degus (degu)
Lineage: Eukaryota; Metazoa; Chordata; Mammalia; Rodentia; Octodontidae
Gene: Mcph1
Gene name: microcephalin 1
Exons: 14
Source: RefSeq, a predicted model, not a curated record
UGCCGCCUGCCAGCCCGCGCAGUCGCGCUGUUCGCGCGCGUCAUGGCGGCCCCCAUGUCCGUAGUGCUGAAAGAUGUAGUGGCCUAUGUUGAAGUGUGGUCUUCCAAUGGGACAGAGAAUUAUUCCAAGACAUUUACCAACCAGCUUGUGGAUAUGGGGGCAAAGGUUUCAAAAACUUUUAACAAACAAGUAACUCACGUUGUCUUCAAAGAUGGGUACCAGAGCACUUGGGACAAAGCCCAGAAGAGGGGGAUAAAGCUCGUCUCAGUGCUCUGGGUUGAAAAGUGUAGGACAGCUGGGGUGCAUGCUGAUGAGUCCCUAUUCCCAGCAGCUAGCCCCAGCGAGCACACACUAAACCUGAUGAGAAAGAAGCGUAAAUGCAUGCAACCCAAAGAUUUCAUUCCCAGAACACCAGACAAUGAUAAAAGACUUCAGAGAAAAUUUGAGAAAAUGACUGAAGAACUACAGAGACAAAAGACCACACUCGAUGACAUUGUGCCUGUUUUAUUUGAACCUUGUGGCUCAUUGAUGUACAGUCCCUCAAUUAAAAUUGGUAGUCCCCAGCACACGAUGGAGAAGAGAUUACAAGAGAUGAAGGAGAAAAGAGAACGUCUUUCUCCUACCUCUUCCCAGAGGACCGAGCUGGCCCAGGAGAACCCGGAUGACAGUCUGUACGGAGCUUCUCUAAACAUUCCCCAGGAUACUUCCUCUGCAGAUGAAUCCUUUGGUGGUGGUUUACACUCAUCUUCUUGUGAUGACCUCUCUGGAAAUCAGGAGAGGAAAUUAGGACAAUCUGUUAAGGAAAUGACAAGUGGCGUGCGCAGUUCCUCACCUGUCCUGAGCACGGGCCACGCACCUCCUCUGGCAUCGUCCAGCUGCCUCAGUGAGCGGAACCCCCAGAAGUCCAUGAGUGAUCUUCCCAAGGAAGAAGUCAAGUGGCCGAGAGACCCAGGCAGUGAAAUUGUCACCCCAGACAGAAAGCAGGCUGCAGUGGCGUCUGAGGUGAGUGAGGAGAAGGGCAGCCCCUCUCCCACGACAACCGUAGCUGGAGGGCAUCUCGGGCUGCACUCAGUACCCAGAAGCUGCUCGGCCAAGAAGAAGAGGACGCUGGCAGACUCAUGGUCGCCUCUGAGAGAAACGCCGAGGAGGAGCAGGAGCAGGAGGAGCAGCAGCUGGAGGCCCGCGGUGCCCGGCGUGCAGCUGCUCAGAUCUGGACACAGCCUGCAGUAUCCAUCCGUGUCCACCCUGGGGACUCCUGACAAUGUAGCAUCGUCUUACGAGGAUUACUUCUCCCCUGAGAACCUCCAGGAGAGGACCUCCGGGCAUCGUCGUCCUGGGUCUCAGCUGUCAGCAGGCCCUGCCCACUUCAGCUGCAGAAGCCUUUCGCAGAGGGAGAGGGCAAAUAUCCUAGAAAUGUCGGACUUUUCCUGCAUUGGCGAGAAGGUCAGAUUGGGCAGCAUCACUGAUUUGACAGCAAAAGCGCACUCCAGCCUUUGGAGACCUACAGGCUUGGCUAGGGAGGCCACGCCUGCUGCUGAAGAAGACCCAGGGCACUGCAGGCAGGCUGGGCGUCCCCAGGGAGAAGAUGCAGGAACCAUGGGAAGCCACCAUCCCGUCACCCACGGCCCUGCUGGUUCAGGGCAGGAGGGCAGCAGCCACUCCCCCGUGCAAGGCAGUGGACCAGAGAGAGGACUGGCUGGCAAGAGAGGCACCCAGAAAGAGGGCCCUGCCACCACAGUGCCAAAGUCCCCCUUGGGGUCCGCACAAGAGUGUGAGCUGAGUCUUGGAGAGGAGCAGUCUGCAGGGGAAGAAAAGGAAAACGUAGCCCUGGGAUACAGUGGAAAUGUUAAAAACAGACCAACAAGGCACGACAUUUCAGCCAGCUCACAAGAAGGCGUUGAGGACCUCGUCGGACGUCAUGAGGAGUCAGAAAAAAGGGGGGAAAGCCAGCAGUCUGAGCCCACACGAACAUUAGUCAUGACGAGCAUGCCAUCAGAGAAGCAGAGCAUCGUCAUGCAGGUGGUGGAUACCCUAAAGGGCUUCUCCUUGGCGCCUGAAGUUUGUGACACAACCACACAUGUGCUGGCUGGGAAGCCGCUGCGCACACUGAACGUGCUGCUGGGGAUUGCGCGUGGCUGCUGGGUGCUCUCCUAUGAGUGGGUACUGUGGUCUUUGGAGUUGGGUCACUGGAUUUCUGAGGAGCCUUUUGAACUCUCUACCUACUUCCCAGCAGCUCCUAUGGAGAAGCCUCCAGUGGACUGGAUGGAGGACCCAGGACCAGAGAAGGGCACCUCACCAUGAGGCUGUGCCACCUCCCUGGGUGCAGCUGGGUGACUUCUAUUUGCCACAGAACUGCAGAAACGAUCAGUGAGCGUGCGUGGAGGGAAGGAUCGGACUGGCAGCUUGAGGAAGUCUGAGUCUCUGACUCCCAGGUGGUGGGCGUGCUGCUCACGUGGGUGGAGGGGAAAGGUGCCAGGGCUUCACUGUAAGUCAUCCAGGUGUGUGCUGUGACAUCCUGUGGGAUGGGGCACACCCAUCUGAAAUAGGACACACUUAGAUAGAACACAAUUAAAGAAACAAGAGAGCCUCAAAUCUCUCACAGUCCGCGCUGCCACAAAGCAGCACGGCAUCUGCUUUCCUUUCUCACUUCUAUGGCAUGCUGUGUAUGCCGGGUGACCUUACAGACUCAGGAAGGAAGGACUUUUUAUUUACUGGUUAUUUGAGAGAUAGCCAAGUAACAUUUUUUAAGAUUGCCCCGCAAAUUCCCUGAAUUUUUAGAUGUACUUUAGUUUAUAUAAUUAUCCCACUGUACAAAGUUGUCCCAAAUGUUGUUUGAUUUUUAAAUAUUUUCAUUCUAAUAUUUUUGUGGAAUAUUUUAUCUUCCCAUCAAAAAAAACAAAUGCCAAAAAGGUCAAGAUAUAAACACAGCUUUUAAAGGCAGUGGGUAAAAUUUUCAAACAAUGGGUGAGCGCAUUAGCCCGUCAAUAUUUUUGCCAGUAGUUCUGUGUCCUGUUUUCUCCCAGUAGAAAGAAAUGCUAAACAUUCCUUUCAGCGGAUUGAUGUCAGCGGUGACUGUUUUACCCAUGACCCAAGUUAGGUCAAACAGCCUUUUCUUUGACCAGCACAGUAUUUCAUUUGAAAUUUUGAGGAGGCUUUGUUAGCUCUCCUUUUAUGACUAAGUGCUCCUCAGUCACGUCAGCAGAGCCGCAGGUUCCGUGGCCUCGGAGUAGCGUGCCGGGUUCUCUGUCGUCACCACCAGCAGGCGCCCUCUCUCCCGUAUUUCACACAGUGAAUUUCCAUGUGAUAGUGGCUUAAUGCCACCUACAUUAAUCUUCAUUGAAUCUAAAUUGGUUAACAUAAAUAAAAUUGCUUAUGUCAAAGAUGUGAAAAGAGGCCCAUGGCCCUUUCCGGUUUUCCCAUCCAUCUGACUGACUUGCGAUGAAAAUGCCUUCCUGUGGGAAACCAUGCUUGACGGUGGAGUUACAUGGGCAAAAAAGUAGUUUUUGAAAAAUUA